Oncorhynchus keta (chum salmon) is the source of this 783-nucleotide long non-coding RNA. RefSeq lists it as uncharacterized. Lineage: Eukaryota; Metazoa; Chordata; Actinopteri; Salmoniformes; Salmonidae. The record is from RefSeq and is a predicted model, not a curated record. The transcript is spliced from 3 exons.
UACGCCCUUUUAAGAAAUAUAUUGACAUGUAUGGCCUUAAUUCUUCCACGUAUACAGUAUGUAAGCCCUGACAUGUGGUGAGGCUAAGCUGUUGCUCUGGCUUCACCGAGCAGCAGUUUCACACAUUAGUUUAACAUUUAGGUGACUGAUUGAUUGGAGUUGAGUGGUAGUGUGUUUUAAACUCCUGAGACAGUGAAUAACCUGAUAACCAACACACUGUUAACCAACACAAUGAUAACCAACAAUGAUAACCAACACACUGUCAUCUAUAGGUCUGUUCAUCAACACACUGUCAUCUAUAGGUCUGUUCAUCAACACACUGUCAUCUAUAGGUCUGUUCAUCAACACACUGUCAUCUAUAGGUCUGUUCAUCAACACACUGUCAUCUAUAGGUCUGUUCAUCAACACACUGUCAUCUAUAGGUCUGUUCAUCAACACACUGUCAUCUAUAGGUCUGUUCAUCAACACACUGUCAUCUAUAGGUCUGUUCAUCAACACACUGUCAUCUAUAGGUCUGUUCAUCAACACACUGUCAUCUAUAGGUCUGUUCAUCAACACACUGUCAUCUAUAGGUCUGUUCAUCAACACACUGGAGAUACUGUUUGGCCUCUGUGUCUGUUUGUAUCUAUGGUCCAACAGCUCUGAGAAAGGCAGCAUAGAUGCACGAUAAGGCAGAUCCGUACGAAACACACACACACACACACACACACACACACACACACACACACACACACACACACACACACACACACACACACACACACACACACACACACACACACA